AGCUGAUCACUGGGCGUAAAGCGUGCGCAGGCGGUUUUGUAAGACAGUGGUGAAAUCCCCGGGCUCAACCUGGGAACUGCCAUUGUGACUGCAAGGCUAGAGUGCGGCAGAGGGGGAUGGAAUUCCGCGUGUAGCAGUGAAAUGCGUAGAUAUGCGGAGGAACACCGAUGGCGAAGGCAAUCCCCUGGGCCUGCACUGACGCUCAUGCACGAAAGCGUGGGGAGCAAACA
This 230-nucleotide ribosomal RNA is filed under the name uncultured Alicycliphilus sp. Its description in RNAcentral is "partial 16S ribosomal RNA". It matches the Rfam family "Bacterial small subunit ribosomal RNA", at positions 550 to 774 of the family's 1533-position model. Lineage: Bacteria; Pseudomonadati; Pseudomonadota; Betaproteobacteria; Burkholderiales; Comamonadaceae. The record is from RNAcentral.